UGGGGAAUCUUGGACAAUGGGGGCAACCCUGAUCCAGCCAUGCCGCGUGAGUGAUGAAGGCCUUAGGGUCGUAAAGCUCUUUCGCCUGUGAAGAUAAUGACGGUAGCAGGUAAAGAAACCCCGGCUAACUCCGUGCCAGCAGCCGCGGUAAUACGGAGGGGGUUAGCGUUGUUCGGAAUUACUGGGCGUAAAGCGCACGUAGGCGGACCAGAAAGUUGGGGGUGAAAUCCCGGGGGCUCAACCCCGGAACUGCCUCCAAAACUAUUGGUCUAGAGUUCGAGAGAGGUGAGUGGAAUUCCAAGUGUAGAGGUGAAAAUUCGUAGAUAUUAGGUGGAACACCAGUGGCGAAGGCGCCUAAACUGGUCCCGGUACUGACGCUGAGGAACGAAAAGCGUGGGGGAAGCAAACAGGAUUAGAUACCCUGGUAGUCCACGCCGUAAAACGAUGAGUGCCCAGUCGUCGGGGUAGCAUGCUAUUUCGGUGACACACCUAAC
This 494-nucleotide ribosomal RNA is filed under the name uncultured bacterium. Its description in RNAcentral is "bacterial SSU rRNA". It matches the Rfam family "Bacterial small subunit ribosomal RNA", at positions 355 to 856 of the family's 1533-position model. The record is from RNAcentral.